GACGAACGCUGGCGGCGUGCCUAACACAUGCAAGUCGAACGGAGCACUUCGGUGCUUAGUGGCGAACGGGUGAGUAACGCGUGAGAAACCUGCCUUUCAGUGGGGGACAACAGUUGGAAACGACUGCUAAUACCGCAUAAUGUUAUUUGAGGGCAUCCUCGGAUAACCAAAGAUUUAUUGCUGAAAGAUGGUCUCGCGUCUGAUUAGCUAGUUGGUGAGGUAACGGCUCACCAAGGCGACGAUCAGUAGCCGGUCUGAGAGGAUGAACGGCCACAUUGGGACUGAGAUACGGCCCAGACUCCUACGGGAGGCAGCAGUGGGGAAUAUUGGGCAAUGGGCGAAAGCCUGACCCAGCAACGCCGCGUGAAGGAAGAAGGCCUUCGGGUUGGUAAACUUCUUUUAGUAGGGACGAAGAACGUGACGGUACCUACAGAAAAAGACAACGGCUAACUACGUG
RNAcentral lists this ribosomal RNA (457 nucleotides) under uncultured bacterium. RNAcentral describes it as "bacterial SSU rRNA". It matches the Rfam family "Bacterial small subunit ribosomal RNA", at positions 28 to 507 of the family's 1533-position model. The record is from RNAcentral.